AUGCAGUCGAGCGAACUGAUUAGAAGCUUGCUUCUAUGACGUUAGCGGCGGACGGGUGAGUAACACGUGGGCAACCUGCCUGUAAGACUGGGAUAACUCCGGGAAACCGGAGCUAAUACCGGAUAACAUUUUUUCUUGCAUAAGAGAAAAUUGAAAGAUGGUUUCGGCUAUCACUUACAGAUGGGCCCGCGGUGCAUUAGCUAGUUGGUGAGGUAACGGCUCACCAAGGCAACGAUGCAUAGCCGACCUGAGAGGGUGAUCGGCCACACUGGGACUGAGACACGGCCCAGACUCCUACGGGAGGCAGCAGUAGGGAAUCUUCCGCAAUGGACGAAAGUCUGACGGAGCAACGCCGCGUGAGUGAUGAAGGCUUUCGGGUCGUAAAACUCUGUUGUUAGGGAAGAACAAGUACAAGAGUAACUGCUUGUACCUUGACGGUACCUAACCAGAAAGCCACGGCUAACUACGUGCCAGCAGCCGCGGUAAUACGUAGGUGGCAAGCGUUAUCCGGAAUUAUUGGGCGUAAAGCGCGCGCAGGCGGUUUCUUAAGUCUGAUGUGAAAGCCCACGGCUCAACCGUGGAGGGUCAUUGGAAACUGGGGAACUUGAGUGCAGAAGAGAAAAGCGGAAUUCCACGUGUAGCGGUGAAAUGCGUAGAGAUGUGGAGGAACACCAGUGGCGAAAGCGGCUUUUUGGUCUGUAACUGACGCUGAGGCGCGAAAGCGUGGGGGAGCAAACAGGAUUAGAUACCCUGGUAGUCCACGCCGUAAACGAUGAGUGCUAAGUGUUAGAGGGUUUCCGCCCUUUAGUGCUGCAGCUAA
RNAcentral lists this ribosomal RNA (820 nucleotides) under Bacillus sp. ARRCAS005. Its description in RNAcentral is "bacterial SSU rRNA". It matches the Rfam family "Bacterial small subunit ribosomal RNA", at positions 55 to 855 of the family's 1533-position model. Lineage: Bacteria; Bacillati; Bacillota; Bacilli; Caryophanales; Bacillaceae. The record is from RNAcentral.